This 67-nucleotide transfer RNA is filed under the name Calomera brevipilosa. RNAcentral's name for it is "tRNA-Cys". It matches the Rfam family "tRNA". From Rfam's summary of the family: Transfer RNA (tRNA) molecules are approximately 80 nucleotides in length. Their secondary structure includes four short double-helical elements and three loops (D, anti-codon, and T loops). Further hydrogen bonds mediate the characteristic L-shaped molecular structure. tRNAs have two regions of fundamental functional importance: the anti-codon, which is responsible for specific mRNA codon recognition, and the 3' end, to which the tRNAs corresponding amino acid is attached (by aminoacyl-tRNA synthetases). tRNAs cope with the degeneracy of the genetic code in two manners: having more than one tRNA (with a specific anti-codon) for a particular amino acid; and 'wobble' base-pairing, i.e. permitting non-standard base-pairing at the 3rd anti-codon position. Lineage: Eukaryota; Metazoa; Arthropoda; Insecta; Coleoptera; Carabidae. The record is from RNAcentral.
GGUUUUAUAGUUUAAUUAAAAUAUUAAAUUGCAAAUUUAAAGAUAAAAUUUUAAAUUUUUAAAACUU